RNAcentral lists this long non-coding RNA (238 nucleotides) under Elaeis guineensis (African oil palm). RNAcentral's name for it is "long non-coding RNA (EGUI_LNC025728)". The record is from RNAcentral. Lineage: Eukaryota; Viridiplantae; Streptophyta; Magnoliopsida; Arecales; Arecaceae.
CACCCCGAUCCUCCUAAUAUAAAUGCUCACCAUCUAGGGUCCUCACCAUCCUCUGCCGACCCCCUCUCCACCGGCCAAACCCUAUCCCUAACCCAAACUAAUGAUGCCGACACCGACCAGAGACCCAACCUAGAUCUCAAGUUUAACUCAACCCUAUCGAAAAACUCAGGUCUAACCCAACCAUUCAGACUAACCCAAACUAAAAUUUGGACCCACAGAUUCUAACCCAAAACUAUUC